Molecule: ribosomal RNA, 114 nt
Filed under: Chrysemys picta bellii (western painted turtle)
Lineage: Eukaryota; Metazoa; Chordata; Testudines; Emydidae
Source: RNAcentral
UACCGCUGUCCCACCUUGGGCUGUGAUCUUGUUAGCUCUUGCAAGCUAAGCAUGUUUAGGCUUGGUCAGUACUGGGAUGGCAAACCAGUAGAGAAAACCCAUGGAAAGUGGUGA